RNAcentral lists this ribosomal RNA (1511 nucleotides) under Pseudomonas sp. PSB18. Its description in RNAcentral is "partial 16S ribosomal RNA". The stretch from base 12 to 351 matches the Rfam family "Bacterial small subunit ribosomal RNA", at positions 47 to 391 of the family's 1533-position model. Lineage: Bacteria; Pseudomonadati; Pseudomonadota; Gammaproteobacteria; Pseudomonadales; Pseudomonadaceae. The record is from RNAcentral.
UGAGAUGCGCAGCUAACACAUGCAGUCGCAGCGGAUGAAGGAGCUUGCUCCUGGAUCAGCGGCGGACGGGUGAGUAUGCCUAGGAAUCUGCCUGGUAGUGGGGGAUAACGUCCGGAAACGGGCGCUAAUACCGCAUACGUCCUGAGGGAGAAAGUGGGGGAUCUUCGGACCUCACGCUAUCAGAUGAGCCUAGGUCGGAUUAGCUAGUUGGUGGGGUAAAGGCCUACCAAGGCGACGAUCCGUAACUGGUCUGAGAGGAUGAUCAGUCACACUGGAACUGAGACACGGUCCAGACUCCUACGGGAGGCAUCAGUGGGGAAUAUUUUUACAAUGAGCAAAAGCCUGAUGCAGAGCAUACAUAGAAGAGUUAAAGUCAGGACUUCGGAAAUUUAUUAAUACCUUUUUUGGUUUUAUGCAGACCCGCUUCUAUCACUUUACUUCCCCUUCCCAUGAUGAGUGUGUGGCAAUGCGACGUGGAUGCGUGAUCACAAGUACUCAGUGCAUAUGCGAGAGGUUUUGUGGCGUCAUAGGAUAUGUAGAAGUACUACACGAGUUGUGCGUAGUGCUAUAGACAUCUUCUUCAUUAAUCUAAAAUAAUUAUAAUGAUUAUCUGCAUAUACUAAUGCUUCGUGAUGAUUUAUGUGCAGUUAACUCCUAUAUUCAGAGUCCGUAUUAUGACACAUUAGAGAGUACAUAUGAUAUCGAUCAGCAUCGACUCAUAGCUCUAUCAUUAUCUCCUAUAGACUAGAUAUAAGCUUCACUAAUCAGCACCCGUGUACUCUAUAUAUGUCUCUCUAUCAUGAAGUGCUAUGUUCUACCAUCGAUGUCCAUCAGUCAUUUUGCAUUACAUAUGCAUCGUUCUCUACAGUGAUAUAGUCGCAUCUUAUGAUUUUGCCGUUUCGCGAUAGCAUGCAUAGAGAGUUCUCGAGUUGAAUGCAGUAGCUUCUGCUCUGAUGUCGACUGAAUAGUGCAUGUAUCUGUGAGUGACUCUGCGAGUAUGCAUAUCUUAUGCCUUCUAACGACUGCCAUGACAUGAGUGGUCGCUAUGACUAGCGUUAUGAUCUUGAUAGCCUCGUGAUAUAUGUCCGACGACGUAGAUAGAUAUUAUAGAUAGGUAUAUAGUUCACAUAUGAUAUCUUUAGAGGUGUAAUUUGAGUGAAACUUAUUGUCCCCCGCAAGGGAAACUGCUACCUGAUACCCAGGAAAAACUUCUAAUGUAUGUUUCCUACACAUCUAACGGGACUUCGGGCGCGGCACUCGAUUAAACACUUCAGGGCAAUGUUCGCGUGGGUAGCAGAAAACAAUGGUCGUGGAGCCCUCCCGUGAGAUUCCUCAGUCGGCCACUGUUUGGCCUCCUUCCACCCCUACUGCAGUUCAGUAGUACCGGGAAUGCCGGUCCCGAUGUGUGCACGAUGUUACCAGCCAUGUUUCCCAACGGUUCGGCGCUCCACCUCGAUUAGGGUAUUUUGGCUAGCAUCAGGCCUAGCGUCAGACGUUGAGCUGACGCACUU